Long non-coding RNA from Herpailurus yagouaroundi (jaguarundi), 67 nucleotides. RefSeq lists it as uncharacterized. NCBI's taxonomy places the organism in Eukaryota, Metazoa, Chordata, Mammalia, Carnivora, Felidae. The transcript is spliced from 3 exons. The record is from RefSeq and is a predicted model, not a curated record.
GUGUGCUCUUCCAAUCUUAAAGUUGCUGAUGGACAGAGUGGAUAAAUGAGCCAAAAUAUAGUUAAAU